AUUGAACGCUGGCGGCAUGCCUUACACAUGCAAGUCGAACGGCAGCACGGGAGCAAUCCUGGUGGCGAGUGGCGAACGGGUGAGUAAAGUAUCGGAACGUGCCCAGUCGUGGGGGAUAACGUAGCGAAAGUUACGCUAAUACCGCAUACGAUCUAUGGAUGAAAGGGGGGGAUCGCAAGACCUCGCGCGAUUGGAGCGGCCGAUAUCAGAUUAGGUAGUUGGGGGGGUAAAGGCUCACCAAGCCGACGAUCUGUAGCUGGUCUGAGAGGACGACCAGCCACACUGGGACUGAGACACGGCCCAGACUCCUACGGGAGGCAGCAGUGGGGAAUUUUGGACAAUGGGCGAAAGCCUGAUCCAGCCAUGCCGCGUGCAGGAUGAAUGCCUUCGGGUUGUAAACUGCUUUUGUACGGAACGAAAAGGUUUGGCCUAAUAAGCUGAGCUCAUGACGGUACCGUAAGAAUAAGCACCGGCUAACUACGUGCCAGCCGCCGCAGUAA
Molecule: ribosomal RNA, 500 nt
Filed under: uncultured bacterium
Lineage: Bacteria
Description: partial 16S ribosomal RNA
Rfam family: Bacterial small subunit ribosomal RNA
Source: RNAcentral